CUUUCCCCCAAUUUCUAUUUCCCCCAAUUUUCCCAUGAUUCAACCUUAUUGAAGGCUGUUGGAUAGAGAACUCACAAUCUCCAAACAAUUGCAGCUGAGCCGAGAGAUCAAAAUCUAUUGGUGUAGCUAUUGGGAUCGACGUCGGCAGUAGAACAUUUGAGAGCCAUGCCAAUUGAUAAAUCUUGGAUUAGCAAACCACGAAACACACCGGAAUAUGCAGAUGGUCUAAGACAAGUUUUGGAUUUUGCUUUUGAGCACGGGUCAGUUGAUGGGCGUGUAAUUAAGUGUCCAUGUCCAAAAUUUGGUUUUAACAAAUGGCAAAGAAGAGAUGUAGUUAAAGAGCACCUGAUUCUUAAACCUUUCCCAAAAAACUACAAAUUUUGGUAUUGGCAUGGUGAAGAAUCAAAUGCAACCGUGCAACAGACUUCUCAGAGCACCCAUAUCAUAGAAGAUAAUUUACAACCCCAAGAUCCAAUGGAAAUUAUGAUUAAUGAUGCGUUUGGGUUCACCCGGAAUAAUGUCAACGAGCCUGGUGCGUCU
Nicotiana attenuata is the source of this 540-nucleotide long non-coding RNA. RefSeq lists it as uncharacterized. Lineage: Eukaryota; Viridiplantae; Streptophyta; Magnoliopsida; Solanales; Solanaceae. The record is from RefSeq and is a predicted model, not a curated record. The transcript is spliced from 3 exons.